AUGCUCGCUUCGGCAGCACAUAUACUAAAAUUGGAACGAUAGAGAUUAGCAUGGCCCCUGCGCAAGGAUGACACGCAAAUUCGUGAAGUGUUCCAUUAUUUU
This 102-nucleotide small nuclear RNA is filed under the name Suricata suricatta (meerkat). The record is from RNAcentral. Lineage: Eukaryota; Metazoa; Chordata; Mammalia; Carnivora; Herpestidae.